CGUCCGUGGCCCUGACAGGCCACCUGUGGGUUGGUCUCGGCUUUAAAGCAGCUGUUCUCCCCUGGCCCCCGCAGCCCUGGCGACUGUGUCUGCACCCGGAGCACCUGGAGCGACUGCUGACCUGCCUCCCGCCCUGGCGGCGCGACCACCGCUUGGGACAGAACAGAUUGUCCGAGAGAGGCAAGUAGGGGUGCUUCACAAAAUACCUUCCUCAAACCCCAACCUCCCCCCACCCAGCCCGACCCUGCUCCGCAGUUCUUGGGGAAGAAGCGACGAGCCGAAGGCGGGGUGGGGAGGGGGCUUUCUUCGAGAAAGAAGUGGAGCGCAGCUGUCUCUGUCCUCCUUCCUGGCGGUGGCGACCCAAGUCAGGUAAAAACCCCGAUCAGUGUCCUCGGUCCAAUCCUCCCCCUCAGGGCCAGGACUCGGGACUGGAGGAGCCCCCAACUGGAGGUGAGAUGCGCGAGGCUGAGCCCGGGGCUGCUUCCUAGGGCCGGAGGAGGGGGGGCCGGUGGGCUCAGCAUCUGCCACAGGUGCCGUGCCUGCUGACAAAUUCAGCAGGAGGCAGGAACGCGGCCAGGGCGCCUGGGAAGGUGGAGGCGGCUCCGCACCCCGGCAGCUGAGCGCUCCUGCGGAGUGCUGCGGCCCCUAGAGUUGCGGGGGCGUUUCGCUCUCGCACCCACCAGCCCGGCGACGGCGACAUUGGCUUGUCAGGCUGAGUCAGGCGUCCGCUCGGCGAAGGGCAGCAUCAGCCUUGGGAGUGCGCUCUCUCCGAAGCCGGUCUCCCCAAGCCCACCCUACAGUGACCUGGUCUCGACUCUGAUCGCCCUUCAGAGUGCAGGUGCAGCAGACCUGUUCACAUGCAGAAAAGCGGCGGGGUUCGGUGUUCCAGACUUCCCUUCGCAGCCUUGCCCGCCACCAGAUCUGAGCGCCAGGAGUCCCGGGAUUCUGCCUGCCGACGCUCAGGCAACCCAGUGCCGAAGGGGAAAACGUGGGGAUUGCCGGGAGGCCACUGGAUAAUUAUCCCAGGGCAAGGGGCUCUUUCUCCACGCCGCGAUUGCGGCAAAUAAUUACACUAAUUCGGGGAAGGGAAGGGAGAGGCGCCGGGGAUUCCGCCUCAGAGGCAGCCCGGUCUGCCGAAAAAGCAUUUCUGUUGCAGACACGUCCUAGUCUCGCCUUUUUACCCCCCGCAAAGGGUGCCUACCCUUCGGGUUCCGGCCUCAGGGGUCAGAAUCCGGCAGCUGGAGGGUCUCCAGAGCCCCUGAACGGUGCAUCCGAGCCUCCAGCUUCAGCACCAGAGGCUGGACAGCGCCCGGGCCGGAGAGCCCCUGGAGUGGGUUCCCGCGCGCCACUCGGCUUCCCAGCCCGACUCAGCUUGAGCUAAAUUCCUCAGACCCCACACGGUGGAGGCCAGGAGAUGAGGCAGGGUUCGCCGAGGGGUGGGGGGGAUCACCUUUCCCAUUUCUCCAGGAGGUUAGGUGUCAGAUUCUGGGAGGGCAUUCUAUCCCCCCUUCGCGAAGACCAGUUGGAAUACAACUUGGUGCCAAGUUGCCGGGAGGGUGCCUAAGCGAAAAGAGGCGCGCCUGGAAAUGGUGAGUUCAGGGGCAAGCUGGAAAGUGGAUCUACCGGGAACCCCGGGCACUGUUGUGCUGUGACAUAUCGCUACAUCCAAGCCGUCUUCUCUCUCGCACCCCCGCCCACCCCCACUUCUUCCUUUUCUCUCACUCCACAAUCUCCGAAUGCCCUAACACAGGUGAAUGAAGGGAUGGGGUGGGGGGAGAUUUGAGAUAUUGAGGCCGAGGUAAGAAAGCCUAUUUAAUCUGAGUCUGAAUAUCUGGGUAGGUGAAAUCUGUGCAAAAUGAACGUCAAGGUCCUCAAUUUUAACCAAAGGAGCCCAGAGUGCCCUUUGCACGAGGAGCAGGAUGACUCUUUUGCCAAGGAGAAAAAAAGCCACGGAGGGGAAGACAUUAUCACAAAAGGGCUAACGGAGAUGGGGGAGGAGGGGACAGGACCGAGGCCCUAGUGUAGUUGCCAGGCAACCAGCCCCAGCCUCCUGUUGCCUUGGUUACAGUGAGUGGAGGGGUUUGGGUCACUGAUUAUCCUUGAGCACCUGGAUUCUUUAAAUUAUCUGCUGGAGAGCCCCUGCCUUCCCCGUGCUGGAUGGGAGACACAACCAAUCCUGUAAGAUCUCAGGGGUUUAAGAGGAAAUCCUGGCAGGUGAAUUUUUCUUUUUAAGUCAAGGUUCACAGUGAAGCAGCUACCUUUCGCCAAGGCAACCCUUUCCACUCUCUCCCCCACCCCCUUCACCAAGGUAAUCAUAUCCUACCCUGCCAUUUCUCUGGGAUUUGCAAUUAGGGAUUUCUCUCUCUCUCUCUCUCUCUCUCUCUCUCUCUCUCUCUCUCUUUCAUUUAGUCCCUUAGACGGAGGGGCCAAUCUUCCUCCCCCCCUCUUUUUUUUCCUUUAAAUGAGUAAAACAUAUUUGUUCUUCAUGGAUGAAUUCAAGGAACUCAGAGAAAUUAUCCAAAGGUGUUUCUGGUACAAAGAGAGGGUUUCUCCUUGGCUUGGCAGUGGUUCCUUCCUCCCUAGACAACUCCUCCAUGAGAGGGAAGCUGAAUUCUAGAUCACCCUGUCUUCUCACUUCUCCCCACAGACCACACAGCACAGGUUGGUAGAAAGGCAGCCCUCUUAGCAAAUUUCCACUAGUGUUCCACCUGCAUUUGAUUCUUCAAGGUUCUCUUCCCUUUAUUCCCUCUCCAGCCUGCCUUCAUAGUGAGCAAAUCAGCACUUAAUAUUUCCAAUCCUCUGAUCUUUUUCCCUUCCCUUGAUUGACAAACACUGAUUCCGUGUUUCAUCUGUCGGCUUUGCCCACCUGUGUUCAUUUGCAAUAUCUGUGGGAAAUCAUUUUACCCAUCCUUUCCCAAAGGCAGUUGUAACAGUCUCAGAAUGAUUUAAAGGGACAUCACUAGUAAGUUAAUAGGACAACUUGUGUUCUGUGCACUAUUUCACCUAGAAUACUUUUCCUUCAGAACCUUGAACUUUCCCUUUCCAAAAUAAAACCUGGUUUUAAACUGAGCUAUAAUUUGACAACAGGGAGAUCUCUGUUUCAGACAGGAACUAUCCUAUCAAUAUCUGUGAUGCCCUGCAUCAGUAAACACACACUUCAUUUUCUCUUCCUUGCCUUUUCCUUCACGCAUUGCUAAUAUAAAAAAAAAAAAUUAGUCAUUAUAACUUCAAUCUAAAUUGAAGGUCAAAAUUACUCUCCAUUGACUGGCUAGUUUGGGGAAGAUUUACAUUAAAAUUCUUUCCCCUCACAUGUUACUAUAGAAACUUCUUUUUAAUACAGACCAGACAGCUGGUCUGCUUUUUGUACUUUUCUUCCCAAAGAAGUACCUCCUUUGUGAAUUCUCUGGGGCAGCUAUCAUUGAUCACAUCAAUAAUGUCCCAUAGCCCCAUAGCAACAGUGUUUUGUUUUGUUUUGUUUUGUUUUGUUUAAUUAUUAUUCCUUUUCUGCUCAUUUUCUUUAUGGACAAAGGGUCUGCUUUCCUUUCAAGAAGAGAACUGAGAUCUUAUUGGCCAGGAAAGGAGAAGCAUUAUUUCAUUGGUUAGUUUGCAUCGCUUUGUCAACCAAUCAGAGGAUGCCAUUUAUCCUUUUCUGACUAGCUGAGUGAACAGGGUACCUAGAAUAUUUGAAUCUGCCUUAGUUUCUUCCAGUAGCAAAGGAUGGAAUUCAGAGUUCUAGGACCCAAGAACUUUGGCUAAUCCAGAUUGCAUUUCACUUGCAAGAGCGAAUUUUGCUACCUAGUUAUUUGUAGCUUACUUGAACACAAAGUACGUUGUUCUAUGCACUUUUCUUUUUAUUUAAAAAUGUACCUUGAUCAUCUUUCCACAUCAGUGCAUGUGAAUGGUAUCAGCAUACCAAGGGUCCAGGGAAUUUUUGUGAUUUCUCCUAGAAGUUCAGAAUUGGUUCCCACCUUUAGGGAUUUAGGGAAACUGUCAGGGGCGAGGAUGGGAAGCUAGAGGAGGGAAGAGCUGUGUUACCUACAUGAUCAACAUACGUCCUAGCUUUUGGAUUCAUUCUGUCCAACUUUGGUGCCCCUGGUAGUUUUGUUUGAUUUUCUACUUUAAUUUUUCAGAGCUGCUCCUUUGUCUUGCGUUUUCAGUGACAAGUAAAAACUCUGGAUGGAUGGAGAUGAUGGCCCUCCAAUUCAGUGUAAGAGCAGACACAUCACUUCCCAGGAAGGCCUGUGGCAGGUAGGUGAUGGUGAUCCCUGCAAAUGGAGAUCAUUCCAGCCCCUUGGGGCACUGGAGUUGGGCAGGUCUGUGUUUUUCUUUCUCCCUGCACCAAAUAGUCCUAUUUAAGUAUUCUGCCAUUAGCCUACACUUCUGCAAAAGAAAGGGUCAUUAAAAUUCCACCCUUUCCAAGACAGAAACUCUGAUGGCAGUUUGGAAGAAGGUUUAAUGUGAGUACCGAUCCCCCUGGUCAGUCUUUUCUCGGUUCUUGGCUGGAGGGAAUGUUUGGAAUGGAUAAAUGCUUGACCGUGAUAGUGCUCUCAAGGGCCACCUCCUUUAGUGGCCCCAUCUAUGCCAGAGUUUCAGUAGCAUCAUGAGCCCCAGCACUAGACUAUAAGCCCUUCAAUAUUAGGGGCUAUGUCUUGUAUACCUUUGUUUCCCUGGAACUUUGUCAUGCUUAAAAUAGGGUCUCAACAAUGUUUGAACUGAAUCCUACAGGCUAGUAUCAAGACAAGACCCUUAACUUCCUCUUUAUGACAAGGGCAGUUCUAGCCCUGGACCCUCCCCCAACUGUCCUUUCCAAAAGCUUCUAUUCCCUAGCUCUCUUCACAAAAGAUACAUGAAGGCUCAGCUCAUCGUUACCAUGGUUACAUGGAGUGGCCACACGGAGGAUCCCUAUCACCCAUUGCUGUCAGGAGGAAAGAGAGAGGAGGGGUUUGGGGAUCAUUGUCACGGAGGAAACCAUGGAAACAAGCGUUGCCAAGGCAAUGACUCUAAAUUCAGAGGAAAGAAACUAGAAGUGGGGAGAGGGAGAUGGGGGGCUCAAGGGCAGGUCAUGGUUUCAAGGUACAUUUCUCUUAAACUGUAACAGCGUCCUUUGCUAUUUGCAUCUUUUUUUAAAUAAAGUAUUUUUCAUUUUAUUUUUUUAAAGUAACCUCUAUGCCCAGUGUGGGGCCUGAACUCAUGACCCCGAGAUCAAGAGUUGCAUGCUCCACGAUUGAGCCAGCCAGCCACCCCUCUAUUUACAUAUUCACCCAACCCAGAAAGAGCCCAGAGUUAAAGAAUUUAGGAAAACUGGGCUUCAAGUCCAUGUUCAUUGGUUCUGCAAGGAAAAGGCCAAUUAAAAUGAGUCUAUUCACACUCAUGAUCAACUCUGUCUCUGAAUUUUGCCUCUUUGCUAACCAGUUGCAUGAGCCAGACUGUGUGGUAGGCACUGGAAUAUAAUAAUGAGCAAAAGCCCCUGUUCUCAUGUUGAGCUGAUCACAGGACAGCCACUUGGUGGCUUUAGGUCAGGGUUGCUCACAGGGCUAGACUGGACAGUCCUGAAUGUCAAUGUCCAGGGAUCUGCUAGGAUUCUCUCCAAGCUCUCUCUGUAACAUCUUUUAGCUUAUCUAUUACCACCAGAAGUUUGCCUGGGAGCUCCCUGAGAAAGGCCUGUUUUUCCUAGGAGUACCCCUUCAGUUAACAUCUUGCAUGUUACUUAGCCUUGUUCUCUAAUAUUAGCACUCAGAUCUUUGUCUCUGAAACUAUACUAAGGAUGAUGUACCAAACCUCUUUCAACAGUACCAAAGAGACAUGAGGCCAUUAUUAAGAGAUUAAUGACAACAAAUCCCUUUCUCUUCCUUGAUGGGUUAGAUGCUGGGGGUGGGGUUCCUCAGCCCCUUGUAGCUUAGAGUCCCAGAGCAAGCACCCCACUGGGGAGUGGAGAAAAGGGGGUCUCAACAGCCUCCUGGGGAGGGCUAUCUCUCCCCUGCACCCUCCACAGAAGAGCUUGGGGUUUUCUCAGGCUCACCUGUCUAGGGCUAACAGUUGGAAGGCCUUGGGCCUCGGAGCUGGGCACUGCCAGUCUUCUCCAUGUCCCCCCUCUGUGUCUCCAAGCAGGUCCUGCCCCGUUCCGGAUGGAGAGAAUGGAGAGAACAAACUGAAGGUUGGAGAGCUGGGCUACAGAGGAAGACGUCUCAAUUAGAAAGAGAAAGAAUUGAAAGCAGCACCGAUAGGGAAGGGUAAUUAUCCCCCAGCUGCUGCAGAAAUAAAAUCAGGGCGGUGCUCUCUGAGGCACCAGGAUAUUGUGGUUUUUGCCAAUUAAAAAGCAGAUACGCCCUGCCAGUGCAAUUAGA
Molecule: long non-coding RNA, 6344 nt
Filed under: Lynx pardinus (Iberian lynx)
Lineage: Eukaryota; Metazoa; Chordata; Mammalia; Carnivora; Felidae
Source: RNAcentral